RNAcentral lists this non-coding RNA (23 nucleotides) under Rattus norvegicus (Norway rat). Lineage: Eukaryota; Metazoa; Chordata; Mammalia; Rodentia; Muridae. The record is from RNAcentral.
UGACAAGGUCCUGCUUUCGCUCC